ACAAGAUGCGCAUGCUUGGAUGGUCCAUGAUGAGUACCUGUCCGGAUGGAUGGACAGAACGACUGAUGGACUGAGGAGUGGGCAGGAGAAGUUCCAGCUGCCCCUGAGGACCGCCAGGGCGGAAGGAGCAGGAAGGAGGUGCUGAGGCCGGAACUACUUGAGAUGGGGGAAGAGGCGACCUCCACCCCUCUCCCAAGAGCCCCGACCCAUGGCGGAGACGCCCGAGUCCUCACGCUGCAUGAGCUCCGGCACGGGAGAGCCGGGACGUCCAGCAGGACCGAGUCCCCGCCCGCCCCCUCGAGGAUCAGGUGCUCAACGCCCAGCCGGGCCGCCAAAUCCUCGC
Molecule: long non-coding RNA, 343 nt
Organism: Enhydra lutris kenyoni (northern sea otter)
Lineage: Eukaryota; Metazoa; Chordata; Mammalia; Carnivora; Mustelidae
Exons: 3
Source: RefSeq, a predicted model, not a curated record